CAAGCAACUUAUCAGGUCACACAGCAAAGUCACUGGCAGUGAAGCAAGGAUGCCCCUUUCUGCCUGACCCUCCUGGCUUCCUGUUUCAACAUCUUUGGAGCUUGUGGAGACGGGGAGAGGCCCGCCAAGGGACCUGGAGACCUGGGGACAGGAGUUUAGGUGCUAGGCUUUGGAUCCCGUCAUCCUGUUUAAUACUCUAUUGAAGUCACUGGAAUUGAGAGAUGAGCAGUCUGUCCCACCUGGUGCUCUCCACACUGCCAACUGUGACCCCACCAGUGUCGCACAGCGAUGGGUCUGCCUGACUGGACUGGAACCGAGAGCCAAGGUAAUCCUGUCCUCUGUGUGAG
This is a long non-coding RNA of Heterocephalus glaber (naked mole-rat), 347 nucleotides long. Lineage: Eukaryota; Metazoa; Chordata; Mammalia; Rodentia; Bathyergidae. The record is from Ensembl.